UUCGAAGGAUAUGAGCAUAUGCGGGAACCAUUUUACACAACUGAAUUACAUAAAAGAGUAAUUGUUUUUCUGUACAAACAGGGCAGGACACGUCUGGAUUUCAGAUCAUUAGGAAAAUAAAGUCUCAAAAACAAGGGUCCAACUAUCUUUGACAGAAUCUACAACAGAAAAACAAAACCCUGGGCACCAGAAAACUUUACUGAUUGCCUAAGGCCAAA
This is a long non-coding RNA of Populus euphratica (Euphrates poplar), 218 nucleotides long. RefSeq lists it as uncharacterized. The transcript is spliced from 2 exons. The record is from RefSeq and is a predicted model, not a curated record. Lineage: Eukaryota; Viridiplantae; Streptophyta; Magnoliopsida; Malpighiales; Salicaceae.